ACUCGUGGCGAAAAGCUCAGUAACACGUGGCCAAACUACCCUACAGAGAACGAUAACCUCGGGAAACUGAGGCUAAUAGUUCAUACGGGAGUCAUGCUGGAAUGCCGACUCCCCGAAACGCUCAGGCGCUGUAGGAUGUGGCUGCGGCCGAUUAGGUAGACGGUGGGGUAACGGCCCACCGUGCCGAUAAUCGGUACGGGUUGUGAGAGCAAGAGCCCGGAGACGGAAUCUGAGACAAGAUUCCGGGCCCUACGGGGCGCAGCAGGCGCGAAACCUUUACACUGCACGAAAGUGCGAUAAGGGGACCCCAAGUGCGAGGGCAUAUAGUCCUCGCUUUUCACGACUGUAAGGCGGUCGUGGAAUAAGAGCUGGGCAAGACCGGUGCCAGCCGCCGCGGUAAUACCGGCAGCUCAAGUGAUGACCGAUAUUAUUGGGCCUAAAGCGUCCGUAGCCGGCCACGAAGGUUCAUCGGGAAAUCCGCCAGCUCAACUGGCGGGCGUCCGGUGAAAACCACGUGGCUUGGGACCGGAAGGCUCGAGGGGUACGUCCGGGGUAGGAGUGAAAUCCUGUAAUCCUGGACGGACCACCGAUGGCGAAAGCACCUCGAGAAGACGGAUCCGACGGUGAGGGACGAAAGCUAGGGUCUCGAACCGGAUUAGAUACCCGGGUAGUCCUAGCUGUAAACGAUGCUCGCUAGGUGUGACACAGGCUACGAGCCUGUGUUGUGCCGUAGGGAAGCCGAGAAGCGAGCCGCCUGGGAAGUACGUCCGCAAGGAUGAAACUUAAAGGAAUUGGCGGGGGAGCACUACAACCGGAGGAGC
RNAcentral lists this ribosomal RNA (821 nucleotides) under Haloferax sp. Its description in RNAcentral is "bacterial SSU rRNA". It matches the Rfam family "Archaeal small subunit ribosomal RNA", at positions 74 to 894 of the family's 1478-position model. The record is from RNAcentral. Lineage: Archaea; Methanobacteriati; Methanobacteriota; Halobacteria; Halobacteriales; Haloferacaceae.